Molecule: ribosomal RNA, 245 nt
Filed under: uncultured Lachnospiraceae bacterium
Lineage: Bacteria; Bacillati; Bacillota; Clostridia; Lachnospirales; Lachnospiraceae
Description: partial 16S ribosomal RNA
Rfam family: Bacterial small subunit ribosomal RNA
Source: RNAcentral
UACGUAGGGGGCAAGCGUUAUCCGGAUUUACUGGGUGUAAAGGGAGCGUAGACGGCUCACCAAGUCUGAUGUGAAAGGCUGGGGCUCAACCCCGGGACUGCAUUGGAAACUGGCGGGCUGGAGUGCCGGAGGGGUAAGCGGAAUUCCUGGUGUAGCGGUGAAAUGCGUAGAUAUCAGGAGGAACACCGGUGGCGAAGGCGGCUUACUGGACGUGCACUGACGUUAAGGCUCGAAAGCGUGGGGAG